This 74-nucleotide transfer RNA is filed under the name bacterium. RNAcentral's name for it is "tRNA-Arg". It matches the Rfam family "tRNA". Rfam says of the family: Transfer RNA (tRNA) molecules are approximately 80 nucleotides in length. The record is from RNAcentral. RNAcentral also lists the same sequence under 4 other names.
GCAUCCGUAGCUCAAUUGGAUAGAGCACCGGUCUUCGGAACCGGGGGUUGGAGGUUCGAAUCCUCCCGGGUGUA